This 512-nucleotide ribosomal RNA is filed under the name uncultured bacterium. RNAcentral describes it as "partial 16S ribosomal RNA". It matches the Rfam family "Bacterial small subunit ribosomal RNA", at positions 28 to 523 of the family's 1533-position model. The record is from RNAcentral.
GACGAACGCUGGCGGCGUGCCUAAUACAUGCAAGUCGAGCGGAACUGGGGGAGCUUGCUCCUUCCAGUUUAGCGGCGGACGGGUGAGUAACACGUGGGCAACCUGCCCUGCAGAUCGGGAUAACUCCGGGAAACCGGUGCUAAUACCGAAUAGUUUGGCGCCUCUCCUGAGGCGCCACGGAAAGACGGUUUCGGCUGUCACUGCAGGAUGGGCCCGCGGCGCAUUAGCUAGUUGGUGGGGUAACGGCCCACCAAGGCGACGAUGCGUUGCCGACUUGAGAGGGUGACCGGCCACACUGGGACUGAGACACGGCCCAGACUCCUACGGGAGGCAGCAGUAGGGAAUCUUCCGCAAUGGACGCAAGUCUGAUGGAGCAACGCCGCGUGAGUGACGAAGGUUUUCGGAUCGUAAAACUCUGUUGUGAGGGAAGAACACGUACCAACUAACUAUUGGUACCUUGACGGUACCUCACCAGAAAGCCACGGCUAACUACGUGCCAGCCGCCGCGGUAA